Molecule: ribosomal RNA, 439 nt
Filed under: uncultured Methanosaeta sp.
Lineage: Archaea; Methanobacteriati; Methanobacteriota; Methanomicrobia; Methanotrichales; Methanotrichaceae
Description: bacterial SSU rRNA
Rfam family: Archaeal small subunit ribosomal RNA
Source: RNAcentral
CGGUUUAAUUGGAUUCAACGCCGGAAUCUCACCGGGGCGACAGCAAUAUGAAGGUCAGGCUGAAGACCUUACCCGAUUAGCUGAGAGGUGGUGCAUGGCCGUCGUCAGUUCGUACUGUGAAGCAUCCUGUUAAGUCAGGCAACGAGCGAGACCCACGUCCACAGUUGCCAGCAUACCCUCCGGGGUGAUGGGUACACUGUGGAGACCGCCGCUGCUAAAGCGGAGGAAGGAGUGGGCAACGGUAGGUCAGUAUGCCCCGAAUCUCCCGGGCUACACGCGGGCUACAAUGGUUGGUACAAUGGGCAUCUACCCCGAAAGGGGAAGGAAAUCUCUUAAAGCCAAUCGUAGUUCGGAUUGAGGGCUGCAACUCGCCCUCAUGAAGCUGGAAUCCGUAGUAAUCGCGUUUCAACAGAACGCGGUGAAUACGUCCCUGCUCCUU